AGUGAGAAUAUGUUCAAAGGCUUGUUCAGGAAGUCUCUUGUGCAUCAUGGUAUUUCAUGCUUCUUGAUCGCAGUUCAGUGAGCUUGAUUAUUGUUGUCAUUCAUUGGUUUGAGAAAAUAUAGGAAGUCAAACCCUUUAGUUGUAAGGCUCUAAACUAAAUUCUUUACUUGAAAAAAAAAGUGAGAAGUUCCUGUUUUCUCAUGAUAUUCUUUACUGCAUUAGGAAAUUC
This 229-nucleotide unclassified non-coding RNA is filed under the name Hevea brasiliensis (rubber tree). Lineage: Eukaryota; Viridiplantae; Streptophyta; Magnoliopsida; Malpighiales; Euphorbiaceae. The record is from RNAcentral.